RNA transcript from Dunckerocampus dactyliophorus (ringed pipefish), 2099 nucleotides. It is a transcript of the gene named cytochrome c oxidase assembly factor 5, with no coding region annotated. The transcript is spliced from 5 exons. Lineage: Eukaryota; Metazoa; Chordata; Actinopteri; Syngnathiformes; Syngnathidae. The record is from RefSeq and is a predicted model, not a curated record.
AAUAUACAAGUUUUCACUCUUUGAAUGAAAUUACGGAAAUAAAACUUUUUGGUCAUAUUCUAAUUUAUUGAGCAGCACCUGUCACCCUGCGACUCUUGCCAAGUUGAAGUCGCGUAAAAGUGGUGACGUCAUGAAGAACAGCAGCUCAAAUUCAAAGUUUUCGAGUCUUUACAUGGGAACAUUUUUCCUCAAAAAUAUUGGUUACAUUCCAAAACUUAUUCAUGGGAAUAUUGAGGGUGCGAAUAUGUUGGCACAUUUACAAUUAGUUUUAAAUUAUAAGGAAUCUUUGAGUAAAUAUCAGCAUCUAAUUGCCGGGCCAAAUGUCCUGGUUUUCGGUAACAAAAUAUGGUCACCCUAUUUGAAUAGACUUAUAACGAAAAAUAUGACUAACUUGCUUGGAAUGAAAACGAAAGUACACAUCUACACUACAAACGUUCCCAUGAUGCAUUUCCGUUUCGGCUAGUAUUUCCGGGUUCCCAUCAUGCAAUCUUCCGUAAAAAAUGGCGUCCGAACCCUUUCACAACAAAUAGAUGUAAGUUAUUGCUAUUAUCUUUUUAUUCGCUCACUGGUGAGUUUAUUACAGUUAAAUAAUAUUGGCGUUGCCAGCAGUCUUCACUAUGCCGAAAUAUUACGAAGAUAAAGAAGAAGACAACACAGCCUGUGCCGGUGUCAAGGAGGACUUUAAGGCAUGUCUCCUUCAACAUGACUGCGUCAUUAAGGAGGGGAAGAUGCCAAGUGAAUGUCUGAGAGAAGGCCACUGCAAAGCCCUACAGACGUUGUUCUUUGAGUGCAAGAGAUCCAUGCUUGACACGAGGUCAAGAUUCAGGGGAAGAAAGGGAUAUUAAAAACCCAAAAUGGCGUCACAUGCUGAAGACUGGAUGACCGACUGUUCGUCGUGUGCUUCACCUCCCGAUGUAAUGAAAUGCACACAUCAAGACAUCAGCGACCUACAGUACGUAAAGAAAAGCACCUCAUCAAUACACUAAUCACAACAACACGGCGUGCGAGGAUUUGAUGAGUUGGUCGACAUAAGCGGGACCGACUUGAGCAGGUUCCACUGAACGAACAUUCCGUGUUGCCCCCCAUGAUGUAGAGCCCUCGCAGCUUGCUCGGCAGAGACGGAUCCAUCCUCACAGCCAAAGCCAGGUUGGUGAGGGGCGCCGUGGCAACCAGAGAUACCUGAGACACGUCAAAUCAAGCAACUGUUUCUAACUUAUUUUUGGAACCUGACUGAUUUAUCAUACAGUAUCAUAAACAAUUGGUGGAUGCCCAUGGAAUACAUUGUGGUUAUCUACUUGAAUAAUUCAUGUUUGGGUCGCCACACCUCUCCUGGGUUCUCUUUGACUAUUCUGAUCAUAGCCGACACGGCAUCUUCCUGCUGCACCAGGUCCAGACUUGGAGCGUUUGGGUCGGGGGCGUCUCCCAGCCCGUCCUGGCCGUGAAAGUCUCCCGCGUUCAUCGUGUUGCCGAGGAGGGGCUUAGCAGCACCUUUAAACACCGGAAUCUAGCACAGGAAAUUGGCAUUUAGUGCGCUAUGUUAAACAGUUAAAAGCAAUGUUUUAAAGCAGGGGUGUCCGGCGCUUGUUUUUUUAUUGGCCCACAGGACAGCGUAGAAGUCAAAUUAAAAAUUUUUCAAAAAUGUGAAAAUGGGGAGAAAAAAAAAAGAAUGUAACAAGAAAACAUUGAAAUGUUGAUCCUAAUAAUUCUACGAUAUGUCGCCAACAACACUAAGUUUUGUCCGUAAAUAUCGAUCAUGUCUUUUUCUUAAAACUAAGUGGAAAUAUGGCAUCGUUUGAUUUUUUCAGUAUGCAGCGCUCGGUUGAAAAAGUUUGGACACCCCUGUUUUAAAGUGUAUUAAGCAAACUACUAAACAACUCAUCAGAUCUGAAAAAGUCGUAUUUAGAGAAUCAUUCAGAAAUGAGCUAGAAAUGAGUCACUGCUUUAUUGUUAAGCAUUUACUGCAGGCAGGAAAGUGUAAGGUUGGAAAAAAUGAGUAUUUUUAUUUUUAAUAACACAGAUAACAUAAUACUGUAUAUUUUUAAAAAUAACUUUUUAAAUAAAGAAGAAAAUGCAAUCACCGAAAAACAUUCUUAACAAUA